GAGAUCAAGCGUCAAAAUUACAUUGUUGGCAUACGCUGCCUUUUUUUAUGGCUCAAAUUCCUGUUGCCUUUUUUUUUUGCCAGCAGCUCCUGUUGCUCGAAAUCCUUGCCAUUGUUUGUUUUCCUGCGUUUUGCCCUGCCUUUCAGGAUACUUUAGCUAUGAGCAGAGCUAAAAUCAAUCCUGUAAAGACAAAUCCUUUACAGGAAAGGGUAUUUAAAUAUCAGCCGAACGAAGGUUUCCACCUCUCUUGUUUUUUCUCACUCUCCCUGUGUGUGUAUUUGUGUUUUUAAGGGGUUAAGAGGGACACAGGAGCAGCGUUGAUUGUUGCAAUUUCUCGUUAAAUUGAAUUCGCGCUUUCAAUGCCAUGCGAGCGAGAGUCCUGGGAUUCGAAGUGCGAGGCACACGGAAAAUGGCGGAAAAUUGGUCAACGGCGGCAACGGCUGCCCUGCAAGCUGCACUGCUUAUUUAUGACAAGUGGCCAGUGGCACAGGAAGCGCCUGGGUAGGUGGACGAAGGCACUUCCGGCCGGACAACGAAAUGAAUGCAAGGACAACGCAUUAUGGGAUUGCCUUUCGGCCCAAAAAUUACACCGAAAACACUGGAGGCUCAACACGCUUGUUACCCAGAGGGGCUAACCCCCCUCCCGCCCAUUGUUUACCCAUUGGCAACCUUUAGUCAUCCCUUUAUCCCCCCACCCCUUCCCAAACAGCUUUUAUCCUCAAUUAAAAACGACAAAAAAAUACCAUUUACGGAAAGCAAUGACUGCAAAUGGUUUAAAAUGGUCCCAGGACAAGGGCUGCGAUUGCACUGGCAGAAAAUACGAGUUGUCAGAGAUUGGAAUCCGGCCUAAAAUCAUGGGAUAUUUGGCGGAAAAGAAGGCACCAGCACAGGAUACGGACAGCUCAAUCUGGAGUCCUGCAAUGAUUCAUCAUCGUGGCGGCAAUGGUUUAAUUGAGGCCCAACAACUCCUCACAGCCACAAAAAUAUAUAUAUUAUAAUGGAAGCAACGCUAUUUAAAUGCAAUUUCCAUCUAUUUGCAUUAAUUGAGUUGCAGGACGAGUGCGAGGCGAGUCCUUGUCGGGUAAUGAGCUAAACUAAGCCCCAGGGAUACGCCCGGGUAUAUGCUUUAGCCAACUGCCACUAAAGCCCAAUCUUAGCCAUUCCAAUUACUUAACUGAAAUGUUUGAGCAAGUGGCUGAAACCAAUGGCUGAGAGUGGCAAAUAAAUAAGGUGCAAACACGUGUUCGAGGACGGGGUUUUCCAAGCAGGAAAAGGAGCCGGGAGGGAGCAGCAGCAGCAGCAGGUAACUGAAUGCCCGACGUUAUCCUUAUCAUUGUUAUACUUAAGUUAACAGCAGCUUAAGUAAGCAAACGCACACAUACCCGGGCUUACGGCAGUAAUCAAGCACACGCACUCGCACUCGCAAUCUCGCCCCUCAAGUCUUGGCUUUUAUGGCUGGCCUGCACAGUGGGCCAAAUGCUGUGAAUGGGGAGUAUAUAACGGCCUUCGUGACA
Molecule: non-coding RNA, 1514 nt
Organism: Drosophila kikkawai
Lineage: Eukaryota; Metazoa; Arthropoda; Insecta; Diptera; Drosophilidae
Source: RefSeq, a predicted model, not a curated record